This 584-nucleotide ribosomal RNA is filed under the name uncultured Alphaproteobacteria bacterium. RNAcentral's name for it is "bacterial SSU rRNA". It matches the Rfam family "Bacterial small subunit ribosomal RNA", at positions 100 to 720 of the family's 1533-position model. Lineage: Bacteria; Pseudomonadati; Pseudomonadota; Alphaproteobacteria. The record is from RNAcentral.
ACACGGGUGCGUAACGCGUGGGAAUCUGCCCUUGGGUUCGGGAUAACAGUUGGAAACGACUGCUAAUACCGGAUGAUGACUUCGGUCCAAAGAUUUAUCGCCCAGGGAUGAGCCCGCGUAGGAUUAGCUAGUUGGUGAGGUAAAGGCUCACCAAGGCGACGAUCCUUAGCUGGUCUGAGAGGAUGAUCAGCCACACUGGGACUGAGACACGGCCCAGACUCCUACGGGAGGCAGCAGUGGGGAAUAUUGGACAAUGGGCGAAAGCCUGAUCCAGCAAUGCCGCGUGAGUGAUGAAGGCCUUAGGGUUGUAAAGCUCUUUUACCCGGGAAGAUAAUGACUGUACCGGGAGAAUAAGCCCCGGCUAACUCCGUGCCAGCAGCCGCGGUAUACGGAGGGGGCUAGCGUUGUUCGGAAUUACUGGGCGUAAAGCGCGCGUAGGCGGCUUUGUAAGUUAGAGGUGAAAGCCCGGAGCUCAACUCCGGAACUGCCUUUAAGACUGCAUCGCUAGAAUCAUGGAGAGGUGAGUGGAAUUCCGAGUGUAGAGGUGAAAUUCGUAGAUAUUCGGAAGAACACCAGUGGCGAAG